GGGGCUGUGGUUUAGUGGUAUAACGUUUCUUUCGCAUAGAAAAGGUCCUUGGUUCGAUUCCUAGCUGCUCCA
Molecule: transfer RNA, 72 nt
Rfam family: tRNA
About the family: Transfer RNA (tRNA) molecules are approximately 80 nucleotides in length. Their secondary structure includes four short double-helical elements and three loops (D, anti-codon, and T loops). Further hydrogen bonds mediate the characteristic L-shaped molecular structure. tRNAs have two regions of fundamental functional importance: the anti-codon, which is responsible for specific mRNA codon recognition, and the 3' end, to which the tRNAs corresponding amino acid is attached (by aminoacyl-tRNA synthetases). tRNAs cope with the degeneracy of the genetic code in two manners: having more than one tRNA (with a specific anti-codon) for a particular amino acid; and 'wobble' base-pairing, i.e. permitting non-standard base-pairing at the 3rd anti-codon position.
Source: Rfam